CACGUAGGAGGCGAGCGUUGUCCGGAAUCAUUGGGCGUAAAGAGCGCGCAGGCGGCUUGGCAAGUCGGGUGUGAAAUCCCGGGGCUCAACCCCGGGACUGCAUUCGAUACUGUCAGGCUAGAGGUAGGUAGGGGAGAUCGGAAUUCCUGGUGUAGCGGUGAAAUGCGCAGAUAUCAGGAGGAACACCGGUGGCGAAGGCGGUUCUCUGGGCAUGACCUGACGCUGAGGAGCGAAAGUGUGGGGAGCGAACAGG
Molecule: ribosomal RNA, 253 nt
Filed under: uncultured bacterium
Lineage: Bacteria
Description: partial 16S ribosomal RNA
Rfam family: Bacterial small subunit ribosomal RNA
Source: RNAcentral